UACGUAGGGUGCGAGCGUUGCCCGGAUUUAUUGGGCGUAAAGGGCGCGUAGGCGGCUCGGCACGUCCGUUGUGAAAUCGCCCGGCUCAACUGGGCGGGGUCAGCGGAUACGGUCGAGCUUGAGCAAGCUAGGGGGCAAUGGAAUUCCCGGUGUAGUGGUGGAAUGCGUAGAUAUCGGGAGGAACACCAGUGGCGAAGGCGGGUCUCUGGGCCGAUACUGACGCUGAGGAGCGAAAGCGUGGGGAGCAAACAGG
RNAcentral lists this ribosomal RNA (253 nucleotides) under uncultured bacterium. Its description in RNAcentral is "partial 16S ribosomal RNA". It matches the Rfam family "Bacterial small subunit ribosomal RNA", at positions 524 to 776 of the family's 1533-position model. The record is from RNAcentral.